Molecule: ribosomal RNA, 468 nt
Filed under: uncultured bacterium
Lineage: Bacteria
Description: partial 16S ribosomal RNA
Rfam family: Bacterial small subunit ribosomal RNA
Source: RNAcentral
GACGAACGCUGGCGGCGUGCUUAACACAUGCAAGUCGAACGGAAAGGCCCUGCUUUUGUGGUGUGCUCGAGUGGCGAACGGGUGAGUAACACGUGUGUAACCUGCCCUUGACUUUGGGAUAACUUCAGGAAACUGGGGCUAAUACCGGAUAGGAGCUCCUGCUGCAUGGUGGGGGUUGGAAUGUUUCGGCGGUUGGGGAUGGACUCGCGGCUUAUCAGCUUGUUGGUGGGGUAGUGGCUUACCAAGGCUUUGACGGGUAGCCGGCCUGAGAGGGUGACCGGCCACAUUAGGACUGAGAGACGGCCCAGACUGCUACGGGAGGCAGCGGUGGGGAAUAUUGCACAAUGGGCGGAAGCCUGAUGCAGCAACGCCGCGUGCGGGAUGACGGCCUUCGGGUUGUAAACCGCGUUCGCCUGAGACGAAGCGUGAGUGACGGUAAUGGGUAAAGAAGCACCGGCUAACUACGUG